CACGACAGGUUGAUGAACCGAACCUAGCGGCGAGCGAGCGGGAAGAGCUCAAAUUUAUAAUCUGGCACCUUCGGUGUCCGAGUUUGUAAUCUCUAGAAGUGUUUUCCGCGUUGGACCGCACACAAGUCUGUUGGAAUACAGCGGCAUAGUGGUGAAACCCCCGUAUAUGGUGCGGACGCCCAGCGCUUUGUGAUACACUUUCAAUGAGUCGAGUUGUUUGGGAAUGCAGCUCAAAUUGGGUGGUAAAUUCCAUCUAAAGCUAAAUAUUGGCGAGAGACCGAUAGCGAACAAGUACCGUGAGGGAAAGAUGAAAAGCACUUUGGAAAGAGAGUUAACAGUACGUGAAAUUGUUGGAAGGGAAACGCUUGAAGUCAGACUUGCUUGCCGGAGCUUGCUUCGGUUUGCAGGCCAGCAUCAGUUUUCCGGGGUGGAUAAUGACGGUUUGAAGGUAGCAGUCUCGGCUGUGUUAUAGCUUUCCGUUGGAUACAUCCUGGGGGACUGAGGAACGCAGCGUGCUUUUUGCGAAAGACUCGUCUUUUUCACGCUUAGGAUGCUGGUGGAAUGGCUUUAAACGACCCGUCUUGAAACACGGACCAAAACCCCCAAAAAACAAAACAAAAGUUAAACGAGUCGGGUUUGUCAUUUUUUAAUUUUUCUUUU
This 660-nucleotide ribosomal RNA is filed under the name Rhodotorula glutinis. Its description in RNAcentral is "eukaryotic LSU rRNA". The stretch from base 1 to 592 matches the Rfam family "Eukaryotic large subunit ribosomal RNA", at positions 53 to 664 of the family's 3401-position model. The record is from RNAcentral. Lineage: Eukaryota; Fungi; Basidiomycota; Microbotryomycetes; Sporidiobolales; Sporidiobolaceae.